Molecule: ribosomal RNA, 406 nt
Filed under: uncultured bacterium
Lineage: Bacteria
Description: partial 16S ribosomal RNA
Rfam family: Bacterial small subunit ribosomal RNA
Source: RNAcentral
AUUGAACGCUGGCGGCAGGCCUAACACAUGCAAGUCGAACGAGUGGCGGACGGGUGAGUAAUGUCUGGGAAACUGCCUGCUGGAGGGGGAUAACUACUGGAAACGGUAGCUAAUACCGCAUACCAUCGGAUGUGCCCCGAUGGGAUUAGCUAGUAGGUGGGGGAAAGGCUCACCUAGGCGACGAUCCCUAGCUGGUCUGAGAGGCUGACGAGCCACACUGGAAAUGAGAAACGGUACAGACUCCUACGGGAGGCAGCAGGGGGGAAUAUGGCACAAUGGGCGCAAGCCUGAGGCAGCCAUGCCGCGUGUAUGAAGAAGGCCUUCGGGUUGUAAAGUACUUGCAGCGGGGAGGCGUUACCCGCAGAAGAAGCACCGGCUAACUCCGUGCCAGCAGCCGCGGUAAUUC